Molecule: ribosomal RNA, 254 nt
Filed under: uncultured bacterium
Lineage: Bacteria
Description: partial 16S ribosomal RNA
Rfam family: Bacterial small subunit ribosomal RNA
Source: RNAcentral
UACGUAGGGGGCGAGCGUUGUCCGGAUUUAUUGGGCGUAAAGAGCUCGUAGGCGGUUUAGCAAGUCGGGUGUGAAAACUCCGGGCUCAACUCGGAGACGCCACUCGAUACUGCUAUGACUCGAGUCCGGUAGGGGAGUGCGGAAUUCCUGGUGUAGCGGUGAAAUGCGCAGAUAUCAACAGGAAUACCGGAGGCGAAGGCGGGUAACUGGCCUAACACUGACACUCAGACCCUAAAGCGUGGGGAUCAAACAGG